UAAAAACCCCGACUUCGGAAGGGGUGUAUUUAUUAGAUACAAAACCAAUGCCCUUCGGGGCUCUUUGGUGAUUCAUGAUAACUAUACGAAUCGCACGGCCUUGCGCCGGCGAUGGUUCAUUCAAAUUUCUUCCCUAUCAACUUUCGAUGUUUGGGUAUUGGCCAAACAUGGUUGCAACGGGUAACGGAGGGUUAGGGCUCGACCCCGGAGAAGGAGCCUGAGAAACGGCUACUACAUCCAAGGAAGGCAGCAGGCGCGCAAAUUACCCAAUCCCGACUCGGGGAGGUAGUGACAAUAAAUACUGAUACAGGGCCCUUUCGGGCCUUGUAAUUGGAAUGAGUACAAUUUAAAUCCCUUAACGAGGAACGAUUGGAGGGCAAGUCUGGUGCCAGCAGCCGCGGUAAUUCCAGCUCCAAUAGCGUAUAUUAAAGUUGUUGUGGUUAAAAAGCUCGUAGUUGAACCUUGGGCCUGGCUGGCCGGUCCGCCUCACCGCGUGCACUGGUCCGGCCGGGCCUUUCCCUCUGUGGAACCCCAUACCCUUCACUGGGCGUGGCGGGGAAACAGGAAAUUAAUUUG
RNAcentral lists this ribosomal RNA (576 nucleotides) under uncultured eukaryote. Its description in RNAcentral is "SSU rRNA". It matches the Rfam family "Eukaryotic small subunit ribosomal RNA", at positions 174 to 759 of the family's 1831-position model. The record is from RNAcentral.